AGCGUACACGGUGGAUGCCCUGGCAGUCAGAGGCGAUGAAGGACGUGCUAAUCUGCGAUAAGCGUCGGUAAGGUGAUAUGAACCGUUAUAACCGGCGAUUUCCGAAUGGGGAAACCCAGUGUGUUUCGACACACUAUCAUUAACUGAAUCCAUAGGUUAAUGAGGCGAACCGGGGGAACUGAAACAUCUAAGUACCCCGAGGAAAAGAAAUCAACCGAGAUUCCCCCAGUAGCGGCGAGCGAACGGGGAGCAGCCCAGAGCCUGAAUCAGUGUGUGUGUUAGUGGAAGCGUCUGGAAAGGCGCGCGAUACAGGGUGACAGCCCCGUACACAAAAAUGCACAUGCUGUGAGCUCGAUGAGUAGGGCGGGACACGUGGUAUCCUGUCUGAAUAUGGGGGGACCAUCCUCCAAGGCUAAAUACUCCUGACUGACCGAUAGUGAACCAGUACCGUGAGGGAAAGGCGAAAAGAACCCCGGCGAGGGGAGUGAAAAAGAACCUGAAACCGUGUACGUACAAGCAGUGGGAGCACGCUUAGGCGUGUGACUGCGUACCUUUUGUAUAAUGGGUCAGCGACUUAUAUUCUGUAGCAAGGUUAACCGAAUAGGGGAGCCGAAGGGAAACCGAGUCUUAACUGGGCGUUAAGUUGCAGGGUAUAGACCCGAAACCCGGUGAUCUAGCCAUGGGCAGGUUGAAGGUUGGGUAACACUAACUGGAGGACCGAACCGACUAAUGUUGAAAAAUUAGCGGAUGACUUGUGGCUGGGGGUGAAAGGCCAAUCAAACCGGGAGAUAGCUGGUUCUCCCCGAAAGCUAUUUAGGUAGCGCCUCGUGAAUUCAUCUCCGGGGGUAGAGCACUGUUUCGGCAAGGGGGUCAUCCCGACUUACCAACCCGAUGCAAACUGCGAAUACCGGAGAAUGUUAUCACGGGAGACACACGGCGGGUGCUAACGUCCGUCGUGAAGAGGGAAACAACCCAGACCGCCAGCUAAGGUCCCAAAGUCAUGGUUAAGUGGGAAACGAUGUGGGAAGGCCCAGACAGCCAGGAUGUUGGCUUAGAAGCAGCCAUCAUUUAAAGAAAGCGUAAUAGCUCACUGGUCGAGUCGGCCUGCGCGGAAGAUGUAACGGGGCUAAACCAUGCACCGAAGCUGCGGCAGCGACGCUGAUGCGUUGUUGGGUAGGGGAGCGUUCUGUAAGCCUGCGAAGGUGUGCUGUGAGGCAUGCUGGAGGUAUCAGAAGUGCGAAUGCUGACAUAAGUAACGAUAAAGCGGGUGAAAAGCCCGCUCGCCGGAAGACCAAGGGUUCCUGUCCAACGUUAAUCGGGGCAGGGUGAGUCGACCCCUAAGGCGAGGCCGAAAGGCGUAGUCGAUGGGAAACAGGUUAAUAUUCCUGUACUUGGUGUUACUGCGAAGGGGGGACGGAGAAGGCUAUGUUGGCCGGGCGACGGUUGUCCCGGUUUAAGCGUGUAGGCUGGUUUUCCAGGCAAAUCCGGAAAAUCAAGGCUGAGGCGUGAUGACGAGGCACUACGGUGCUGAAGCAACAAAUGCCCUGCUUCCAGGAAAAGCCUCUAAGCAUCAGGUAACAUCAAAUCGUACCCCAAACCGACACAGGUGGUCAGGUAGAGAAUACCAAGGCGCUUGAGAGAACUCGGGUGAAGGAACUAGGCAAAAUGGUGCCGUAACUUCGGGAGAAGGCACGCUGAUAUGUAGGUGAAGCGACUUGCUCGUGGAGCUGAAAUCAGUCGAAGAUACCAGCUGGCUGCAACUGUUUAUUAAAAACACAGCACUGUGCAAACACGAAAGUGGACGUAUACGGUGUGACGCCUGCCCGGUGCCGGAAGGUUAAUUGAUGGGGUCAGCGCAAGCGAAGCUCUUGAUCGAAGCCCCGGUAAACGGCGGCCGUAACUAUAACGGUCCUAAGGUAGCGAAAUUCCUUGUCGGGUAAGUUCCGACCUGCACGAAUGGCGUAAUGAUGGCCAGGCUGUCUCCACCCGAGACUCAGUGAAAUUGAACUCGCUGUGAAGAUGCAGUGUACCCGCGGCAAGACGGAAAGACCCCGUGAACCUUUACUAUAGCUUGACACUGAACAUUGAGCCUUGAUGUGUAGGAUAGGUGGGAGGCUUUGAAGUGUGGACGCCAGUCUGCAUGGAGCCGACCUUGAAAUACCACCCUUUAAUGUUUGAUGUUCUAACGUUGACCCGUAAUCCGGGUUGCGGACAGUGUCUGGUGGGUAGUUUGACUGGGGCGGUCUCCUCCUAAAGAGUAACGGAGGAGCACGAAGGUUGGCUAAUCCUGGUCGGACAUCAGGAGGUUAGUGCAAUGGCAUAAGCCAGCUUGACUGCGAGCGUGACGGCGCGAGCAGGUGCGAAAGCAGGUCAUAGUGAUCCGGUGGUUCUGAAUGGAAGGGCCAUCGCUCAACGGAUAAAAGGUACUCCGGGGAUAACAGGCUGAUACCGCCCAAGAGUUCAUAUCGACGGCGGUGUUUGGCACCUCGAUGUCGGCUCAUCACAUCCUGGGGCUGAAGUAGGUCCCAAGGGUAUGGCUGUUCGCCAUUUAAAGUGGUACGCGAGCUGGGUUUAGAACGUCGUGAGACAGUUCGGUCCCUAUCUGCCGUGGGCGCUGGAGAACUGAGGGGGGCUGCUCCUAGUACGAGAGGACCGGAGUGGACGCAUCACUGGUGUUCGGGUUGUCAUGCCAAUGGCACUGCCCGGUAGCUAAAUGCGGAAGAGAUAAGUGCUGAAAGCAUCUAAGCACGAAACUUGCCCCGAGAUGAGUUCUCCCUGACUCCUUGA
This 2787-nucleotide ribosomal RNA is filed under the name Escherichia coli. RNAcentral describes it as "bacterial LSU rRNA". It matches the Rfam family "Bacterial large subunit ribosomal RNA". The record is from RNAcentral. Lineage: Bacteria; Pseudomonadati; Pseudomonadota; Gammaproteobacteria; Enterobacterales; Enterobacteriaceae.